RNAcentral lists this long non-coding RNA (1243 nucleotides) under Vombatus ursinus (common wombat). RNAcentral's name for it is "lncRNA (ENSVURG00010012017.1)". The record is from RNAcentral. Lineage: Eukaryota; Metazoa; Chordata; Mammalia; Diprotodontia; Vombatidae.
CCAAACAAACAAACAAAAAAAGAUUGGAUUUUGUUAUGGUAAAGUGAAAGACCACCGGGCUGAUUUAUUGACUGAUUGGCAUCAAAAAAGAAAGAAGCAGCAUGGAAACCUUUUGCCUUCCAAAGAUUCCGAGGAGACAUGACUCAGAUGUCUUGUUGGGAGUGAUGAAAGGGCCUUCCACAGCCACGCCUCAUCUCCACACCGUCGAAGGCUGUCAUUUGGUGCCCCUUAUUAGAGACUCCUUAGGAGGGCGUCUCCAGAGUCCCUUCUAACUCUGUGCUUCUGUGUUUCGUUUAAAAGAGCUUGUCUCCUUGGCAGGAAGCAUGGCCUACGGGAGCUAGCCCUUGAGUGGCCCUAAGAGGACCUGGCUUCCAUUCCUGUUCUGCAGCUUCCUCACUGCCUGUGUGGCCUUGGGUAAGUCAUUUAGCCCUUCUGAGGCUCAGUUUCCUUAGCAGUACAAUGAGGGGGUGGGCCGUGAUGGGCCUUCAGGCCCGUUCCAGCUCUCGACGGGUGAUUCUUUUCUGCUUUCUCUCUUUUUUCCCAGUGAUAAUAGUAUGUCUACAAAGUAGAAAUGUCUAAUUUAAGCGUGGCGAUUCAGACGAAAACCCUGGAAGUCUUCUGUUUGCGAGGACCUCAGUGUCGGCCCUUGUUGGGCUGGGGAACCAACCUGUCAAAUGGAGUGACUGCCGCAGCAGGAGAGAACCGAGCUUUUUCACCUAUUUUAUUUCUGUGGUAUAGCCAGCAGCUUUAAAAUCCGAGGACUUGAGUUCAAAUCCUGGCUCCAAAACCCUCUUUCUGGUAAUCGAAGCCAAGGGCAACCCUCAGGAUCCUUGAGAAAGGUAAAGAAACAUCCUUUUGUAAGCUAACAAAAACCAUUGCCUUCCCCACAAAGCACUAACAGUGUCUGAGUGAACUAGGCGGAGUACGUGUUAGCGCUUCUUUUUCUUCUGCUGUGGCUUGGUCCUGGAAGCUGAUUGGAGGUUCUAAAUCCUCUCCAGCCUGUCUUCUCUUCAUCGGUCAGAAAGCUGUCUGAACAGCUUGGAGCUUCUCAGACUCAGGGGAAGUGGCUUCCCUGCUGUCUGCAUAGGACGCCCGUUCUAAUGGUUCAUACCUAGGGCUCUGAGCUCAGGCUGGCCCAGGCUUUUGGAGCCCAGCAGGAGGCUACAUUGGGCUCACUCUUUGCACAUCUGCCUUUCUGCCCACCCAUCACAUCCAGCCCUGGAGUGCUCCCAUGUUGGGGAUU